CCUCCUCGGCCUGCUGCGGGGUGAUGUAGUGGAUGUGAGUGUCCACGCCACCCGCGGUGACGAUCCGGUGUUGCCCCGCGAUCACCUCCGUGCCGGGGCCGAUGAGCAUGUCCACGCCAUCUUGGGUGUGGGGGUUUCCCGCUUUUCCGACGCCAGCAAUGCGGCCAUCCUUAAUCCCCACAUCGGCCUUGAUGAUGCCCAGGAUCGGGUCGGCCACGAUGGCUCCGACGAUGACGGUAUCCAGUGGAUCGGUUGCCGUUGGGUCCUGGGCCAUGCCGUCGCGCACG
Molecule: non-coding RNA, 287 nt
Organism: Corynebacterium falsenii DSM 44353
Lineage: Bacteria; Bacillati; Actinomycetota; Actinomycetes; Mycobacteriales; Corynebacteriaceae
Source: Rfam